GUUUGAUCCUGGCUCAGGACGAACGCUGGCGGCGUGCUUAAUACAUGCAAGUCGAACGGAGCUUAGCCGAUAGUUUACUAGAGGCGAAAGCUUAGUGGCGGACGGGUGAGUAACGCGUGGGUAAUCUGCCCCUAAGCCCGGGAUAACAGAGCGAAAGUUCUGCUAAGACCGGAUACACUUCUCUAAUUGCAUAAUCGGAGAAGGAAAGGAAACGCUUAGGGAUGAGCCCGCGUCCCAUUAGCUAGUUGGUGAGGUAACGGCCCACCAAGGCGACGAUGGGUAGCCGGCCUGAGAGGGUGGACGGCCACACUGGGACUGAUGACACGCCCAAGACUCCUACGGGAGGGCAGCAGUAGGGAAUUUUCCGCAAUGGGCGCAAGCCUGACGGAGCAACGCCGCGUGAGGGACGAAGGUCUUCGGAUCGUAAACCUUUGUCAAUGAGGACGAUAAUGACGGUACUCGAUGAGGAAGCCCCGGCUAACUACGUGCCAGCAGCCGCGGUAACACGUAGGGGGCGAGCGUUGUCCGGAAUUACUGGGCGUAAAGGGCGCGUAGGCGGCCUAAUAAGUCAAAUGUGAAACCCCUGGGCUUAACCCUGGGCUUGCAUUAGUAACUGUUGGGCUUGAGGGCAGGAGAGGAAAGCGGAAUUCCCAGUGUAGCGGUGAAAUGCGUAGAUAUUGGGAGGAACACCAGUGGCGAAGGCGGCUUUCUGGACUGAACCUGACGCUGAGGCGCGAAAGCCAGGGUAGCGAACGGGAUUAGAUACCCCGGUAGUCCUGGCCGUAAACGAUGGAUACUAGGUGUGGGAGGUAUCGACCCCUUCCGUGCCGCAGCAAACGCAAUAAGUAUCCCGCCUGGGGAGUACGGCCGCAAGGCUGAAACUCAAAGGAAUUGACGGGGGCCCGCACAAGCGGUGGAGCAUGUGGUUUAAUUCGAUGCAACGCGAAGAACCUUACCAGGUCUUGACAUCCCUCUGACGUAUACAGAGAUGUAUAUUCUCUUCGGAGCAGAGGAGACAGGUGGUGCAUGGCUGUCGUCAGCUCGUGUCGUGAGAUGUUGGGUUAAGUCCCGCAACGAGCGCACCCCUAUGCUUAGUUGCACGGUGAGGCCGGGCACUCUAAGGAACUGCCGGUGACAAAUCGGAGGAAGGGUGGGGAAUGACGUCAAGUCAUUCAUGCCCUUAUUGACCUGGGCUACACACGUGCUACAAUGGCCGGUACAGAGCGCAGCAAAGCCGUGAGGUGGAGCGAAUCGCAAAAAGCCGGUCUCAGUUCGGAUCGGAGGCUGCAACUCGCCUCCGUGAAGUCGGAAUCGCUAGUAAUCUCGGGUCAGCAUACCGAGGUGAAUACGUUCCCGGGCCUUGUACACACCGCCCGUCACACCACGAAAGUCAA
RNAcentral lists this ribosomal RNA (1394 nucleotides) under uncultured Clostridia bacterium. RNAcentral's name for it is "bacterial SSU rRNA". It matches the Rfam family "Bacterial small subunit ribosomal RNA". Lineage: Bacteria; Bacillati; Bacillota; Clostridia. The record is from RNAcentral.